AUUUAUACUAGUCCGAGCAUUUAUUGCUCACGAGGUUCCAGGCAAUGCAUCGGUUAACGUGAUUCGCCAGCUGUUCUGGCACAUCUCUCGAACAUGCCCAAAGAGAUCGGUAAAGGAGAUCGGUAUAAUUAAUUGAAUAUUUUGAAUAAAGGACCAGUUAAGAAUCGUUCAAUUAGGAACCAGGUCGGAUAAAUAUAUCAGAGAUCGGAAAAUA
This 214-nucleotide unclassified non-coding RNA is filed under the name Hevea brasiliensis (rubber tree). Lineage: Eukaryota; Viridiplantae; Streptophyta; Magnoliopsida; Malpighiales; Euphorbiaceae. The record is from RNAcentral.